RNAcentral lists this long non-coding RNA (2133 nucleotides) under Canis lupus familiaris (dog). RNAcentral describes it as "lncRNA (ENSCAFG00000045489.2)". Lineage: Eukaryota; Metazoa; Chordata; Mammalia; Carnivora; Canidae. The record is from RNAcentral.
CCCUUUAACCCUGCAGAGCUCAGAUUUAGAGUCAGGGCCACAGGUAAGGGAGAGGGAGACUUUCCCUGUGGCAGAUAUGCUGGGCCUCCCCACUUUUGCCCACGAGGUGAACAAUAGUGCUCUCUCUGUAGGUCACCCUGAACCUCUAGUAGAACGCGAUGAGAUUUAACACUGGUAAAUGAUUGAUGGGCUCUUCGCUGGUUGGGCCAAGGGGGCAGAGAGGGUUUGGAGAUGAUCCCGGGUACUGAGCUCGAGGAGAGAGAAUGAGAGCAAGAGAAAGCAGAGACAGGCUAGGACCUGAAGGGGAAUAGAAUGACUCUGGUUUUAGGCGUGUAGAUUGCAGUGAGAUGAAUCAGCCACAUGCGAAUGUCCUGCUGGCCUUAGAGAAAGGUCCUGGAGCCUGGGGUUGGGACGGAGAUGGACAUGCAGGGCCACAGCCUGGAGAUGACAGGUCCACGCUGGGUGGUCAUUGGAGAGUUUGCCGCUGCUGACCAGCUGGCCGUCAGUCCUGGAGCACCGAGAGGAGUGGAGGAUGCACAAGGACUGCAGUGGAGACGCUGCUGUCCCCCUCCCCUGAGCCCACUGGGACCUCUGGCUUUGCUGGCUGCGUGUGGUCCUGCCACACACUGACUGGCUCCCACUCCCAUGGGGCUAUGCCAAGGUGAGGCCUACCUUUGCCCCCCCGAAUUCAGAGGGAGGGGAAGGCCUGUGGUCCCCCACCUUUACAGGCAAGUUCAGAUGGCCUGAGCUAAUAGAUGUCGCUAACCAAUUAUGUGAUCUUGGCAGCUCACUUCACCUCAUUGUGACUCACGUGAAGGAUGCGGGUAUCACACAUAACCUUGUCGGGUGGUUGGGAACCUGCCCACUGGUCAGGUGCUUGGGUAGUAAGGGCUACUAUAAUAGGAUAAUGGAUGGCAGGUGUUUUGUAAACCUUAGGGUGAUAGGAGCAAGUCAGUUCCCAUGAUGAGGACUCCUACUCCGUUAUCGGGCUCACUUUCCAAGUUCUUUUAGAAGCUCUUUUAGAGUAGCCCCCUUCUCUGAGGAAGCUCCAGGGGCAAAUGCUCCUGACCCCUGCCUGGAAGGACCAGAUCCCCGGGUCAUAGGGUCAGGUGGGCCUCUUUUGUCCAAGGAUCAAGGGGGUGAAGAAGAGUCCCCUGCUUCGGUGUGGUCUGCCAAAAGCCACGCCACACUCCCCUCCACUUGAGGAGGUUGCUAGGUCCUUGCUCUGCGUGCAAGCUCUGUGCCUGGCCCAAGGGUCAGCCCCAUGUAGCAGGGCCACACAGAUGUCAAACCUGAAAUGCAGCUCUCUGGCUUUGCUGGUUCCAGUUCUGAUAGGCAUCUCCAGAGGCUGGUGAUAAGGAUGAUGGGCAGGUUGAGCGCUUUUCCUCCUUGUACUGGUAACUGCUGUGCGAUAGCAGCUCUGUAAUUGCUCAAUAAAACUCCCCCCACCGCCCAGGAUAGAUUUAUGGCCAAAAUGCAUUAUCUGAACUGAGCAUAUUUCAUCUGAGUGUACCUGGGUGUGUGUGGGAUGGGGAGGGAGAACAGACUGUCUGGAGACAGUUUCCGGGGGUGCUCAGGAAAUUCCUGCCCCCUCCUUUCCCCGAAGUGUUGUCUGGAAGCUCUUUCUAGAUCUGUCAGGACUUACAUGUCAUGGAUCUUCUCCUGAACCUAAAACUAUGUAGACACCCCAGGGAUGGGAGUGAUGAGGAAGACUGUGGCCUGGACAAGUUUAAUUUAGUUCAGUUCAGCAAAUUAAAUAGUGCCCAUUCUUGCCGAGGGCUAGGAAAGCUAUUAUUGUUAUUUAGCAGGGGGGGAAGGAGGGAAAGGCCUUGAGAAGGUGAAGAGAGAUGACAAGGAGCUUUUUUUCUUUUUUUUAAAGAUUUUAUUUAUUUAUUCAUGAGAGAUGAGAGAGAGUCAGAGACACAGGCAGAGGGAGAAGCAGAUUCCCUCUGGGGAGCCUGAUGUGGGACUCGAUCCCAGGACCCCGGGAUCAUGACCUGAGCCAAUGGCAGAUGCUCAACCACUGAGCCACCCAGGUGACAAGGAUCUUUUCUCUAGCUGCUUGAGGUGCCUGAUACACCAACAUUGGCUGGUGGGAGUGGGGUGGGGGCAGGAGGGGUGGGGACAGCCACG